Molecule: transfer RNA, 73 nt
Filed under: Stegodyphus mimosarum
Lineage: Eukaryota; Metazoa; Arthropoda; Arachnida; Araneae; Eresidae
Rfam family: tRNA
About the family: Transfer RNA (tRNA) molecules are approximately 80 nucleotides in length. Their secondary structure includes four short double-helical elements and three loops (D, anti-codon, and T loops). Further hydrogen bonds mediate the characteristic L-shaped molecular structure. tRNAs have two regions of fundamental functional importance: the anti-codon, which is responsible for specific mRNA codon recognition, and the 3' end, to which the tRNAs corresponding amino acid is attached (by aminoacyl-tRNA synthetases). tRNAs cope with the degeneracy of the genetic code in two manners: having more than one tRNA (with a specific anti-codon) for a particular amino acid; and 'wobble' base-pairing, i.e. permitting non-standard base-pairing at the 3rd anti-codon position.
Source: Rfam by way of RNAcentral
GCCCUCGUGGAGUAAUGGUCAGCACACUCGGCGCGUAAUCGAAAGGUCCGUGGUUCGAGUCCCGGCGAGGGCA